Molecule: long non-coding RNA, 1622 nt
Organism: Cyprinus carpio carpio
Lineage: Eukaryota; Metazoa; Chordata; Actinopteri; Cypriniformes; Cyprinidae
Source: Ensembl
ACUUCCGGCAACACCAUGAUGACGUCAUAUUUUCGUCACAUAUCGCUCACCCAAAAUAAAUUGCGGACAUGUCGAGUAUAAAUCAACCUUGACACAAAGAAAGGGACCGAUGGCUGGCCAGCCGGGGUUCGUCUUUGGGAGAAAAAUUUGCAGAUAUUUUAUUUUUAAUUUUAUUUAUUGUUUUUAUUUAUUUUAUUUAAAUUUAUGUGUGUGUACUUCUAACAUGUCUGGUUGGUAAAAUAAAUGUUGUAAAUUCAAAUCAGAGCGUCUUCCGUGUCUGGAAUGGAUGUAUUCUUGAGUCUAUAAGGUAACAAUAAUAAAAUAAGAUAACUGAAAUGGGUUUGGCUAAAAUAAAAUUUUGGUUUCCUCUAUACUUCUAGGUACUUGUACUAGAUUGACUGGGUUACAUAGAAUUGCAUUACUAAAAAGAGACUAAAAUACCAUUUUCAUUGACUAAAACUAGACUACAUGUCAUCAGUUUUAGUCGACUAAAACUAGACUAAAAUGUCAUCAGUUUUCAUCGACUAAAACUAGACUAGACUUAAAAGAGUAUGAAUGUGACUAAAACUAAUAAAAACUAAAAUGCCAGCUUCACACAAAGACUAGACUAAAACUAAAAUUAAAGCAGGCGGCCAAAAACAACACUAAGUAGACGUACGUUCCAAGUUCCCAUUUGGGUGUUCUUCUUUGCAGUCAACAUCAUAUCCGUCAUUAGGCACUGGACUCAACAAUGGGUUUGGUCAAACACCUUCAUAGUAGGAUCUAGAUACCUAGGAUCCGAGAUCCUGCGUCCAAUUUCAUUUUUAUGUAUUUUCUUUUGUUGUUUACAUAGCAAAUUUGGUUGUUGCAGGGACGGGUUGCUAGCCCGACAUCCAACCCUCCUCCUUUCACAUUUGGGCUUGGGACCAGCAAUGGUGGACUUACCGUGAUUCGCUGCGUGUCAAGCUUCCUGGAACCCAGGACCCAGGAAAUCUCAAGCAGCAAGCCCCAUGGGCCAGCUCUGGAGUUGUUUGUAUACCCAUAAAUGUUUCUGAGCGAGAUGUUCAUCUUUCCAGUGAAAAUUUUAAUUUCUUGAGAUGAACUUUGUUCAGUAGUCAGUGAGCCAAGGCCAUUGCAUAGCCUCUGUACAAAAUUUAUGAGCUUGAGGAGGAGUGUGUUUAGCAAAUAUUUAUUUUAUAUGAGGGGGAGGACUGGAGUCGGUGAUACAGAGCUGUGAUUUUCGACUGGUUUUGCUUCAGGACUUGCAUUUUACAUUGGACAUCAAAUGCUGACCGAACACAGUACCAAAAUAAUUUAUUUUAUGAUUUUUUUUAAAUAUAUUUUUUUAAUAGAAAUAAAACAUUGAAAUGUAAUAAUUUAAAUGAAUUAUAUAAAAUACUAUUAAUAUCCGCCAAAACUUAAACAGUUUGCUUUACUUUUUAAUCUGCAAGGUGCCCUUUAAUUUCUUCAUAUUGUCUAAAUUUCCACAAUUAUUUAAUCACCUUGAGCACAAUAAGAACAUAAUUUCACUCCUUUUUUUCUCCCUUUCACAAGCUGUCACCAAAAAUGUUACUCAAUGAUAACUCUUAUCAUUUUUGUGAAAUGGUUCUUUGUCUAUAAUCGGCAAUCCUACUCAGUUUUCA